This 1267-nucleotide ribosomal RNA is filed under the name Staphylococcaceae bacterium 11_Am_9. Its description in RNAcentral is "bacterial SSU rRNA". It matches the Rfam family "Bacterial small subunit ribosomal RNA", at positions 122 to 1374 of the family's 1533-position model. The record is from RNAcentral. Lineage: Bacteria; Bacillati; Bacillota; Bacilli; Caryophanales; Staphylococcaceae.
UAACCGUAAUAUAAGACUGGAAUAACUCCGGGAAACCGGGGCUAAUGCCGGAUAAUAUUUAGAACCGCAUGGUUCUAAAGUGAAAGAUGGUUUUACUAUCACUUAUAGAUGGACCCGCGCCGUAUUAGCUAGUUGGUGGGGUAAUGGCUUACCAAGGCAACGAUACGUAGCCGACCUGAGAGGGUGAUCGGCCACACUGGAACUGAGACACGGUCCAGACUCCUACGGGAGGCAGCAGUAGGGAAUCUUCCGCAAUGGGCGAAAGCCUGACGGAGCAACGCCGCGUGAGUGAUGAAGGUCUUCGGAUCGUAAAACUCUGUUAUUAGGGAAGAACAAAUGUGUAAGUAACUGUGCACGUCUUGACGGUACCUAAUCAGAAAGCCACGGCUAACUACGUGCCAGCAGCCGCGGUAAUACGUAGGUGGCAAGCGUUAUCCGGAAUUAUUGGGCGUAAAGCGCGCGUAGGCGGUUUCUUAAGUCUGAUGUGAAAGCCCACGGCUCAACCGUGGAGGGUCAUUGGAAACUGGGAAACUUGAGUGCAGAAGAGGAAAGUGGAAUUCCAUGUGUAGCGGUGAAAUGCGCAGAGAUAUGGAGGAACACCAGUGGCGAAGGCGACUUUCUGGUCUGUAACUGACGCUGAUGUGCGAAAGCGUGGGGAUCAAACAGGAUUAGAUACCCUGGUAGUCCACGCCGUAAACGAUGAGUGCUAAGUGUUAGGGGGGUUUCCGCCCCUUAGUGCUGCAGCUAACGCAUUAAGCACUCCGCCUGGGGAGUACGACCGCAAGGUUGAAACUCAAAGGAAUUGACGGGGACCCGCACAAGCGGUGGAGCAUGUGGUUUAAUUCGAAGCAACGCGAAGAACCUUACCAAAUCUUGACAUCCUUUGACAACUCUAGAGAUAGAGUCUUCCCCUUCGGGGGACAAAGUGACAGGUGGUGCAUGGUUGUCGUCAGCUCGUGUCGUGAGAUGUUGGGUUAAGUCCCGCAACGAGCGCAACCCUUAAGCUUAGUUGCCAGCAUUAAGUUGGGCACUCUAAGUUGACUGCCGGUGACAAACCGGAGGAAGGUGGGGAUGACGUCAAAUCAUCAUGCCCCUUAUGAUUUGGGCUACACACGUGCUACAAUGGACAAUACAAAGGGCAGCUAAACCGCGAGGUCAUGCAAAUCCCAUAAAGUUGUUCUCAGUUCGGAUUGUAGUCUGCAACUCGACUACAUGAAGCUGGAAUCGCUAGUAAUCGUAGAUCAGCAUGUUACGGUGAAUACGUUCC